UGGGGAAUAUUGCACAAUGGGCGCAAGCCUGAUGCAGCCAUGCCGCGUGUGUGAAGAAGGCCUUCGGGUUGUAAAGCACUUUCAGCGAGGAGGAAGGUGGUGAGCUUAAUACGCUCAUCAAUUGACGUUACUCGCAGAAGAAGCACCGGCUAACUCCGUGCCAGCAGCCGCGGUAAUACGGAGGGUGCAAGCGUUAAUCGGAAUUACUGGGCGUAAAGCGCACGCAGGCGGUUUGUUAAGUCAGAUGUGAAAUCCCCGGGCUCAACCUGAGAACUGCAUUUGAAACUGGCAAGCUAGAGUCUCGUAGAGGGGGGUAGAAUUCCAGGUGUAGCGGUGAAAUGCGUAGAGAUCUGGAGGAAUACCGGUGGCGAAGGCGGCCCCCUGGACGAAGACUGACGCUCAGGUGCGAAAGCGUGGGGCAGCAAACAGGAUUAGAUACCCUGGUAGUCCA
Molecule: ribosomal RNA, 451 nt
Filed under: uncultured bacterium
Lineage: Bacteria
Description: partial 16S ribosomal RNA
Rfam family: Bacterial small subunit ribosomal RNA
Source: RNAcentral